UUAACUCAAAUUUGUAUGGAAUGGGAUCGUUUGCGUACGUUUGCCGUUAGGGGCGCUGUUCCAACUGCAUACCUACAAAUUUGAGUUA
RNAcentral lists this microRNA precursor (88 nucleotides) under Bombyx mori (domestic silkworm). Its description in RNAcentral is "mir-2807 microRNA precursor family". It matches the Rfam family "mir-2807 microRNA precursor family". The record is from Rfam by way of RNAcentral. Lineage: Eukaryota; Metazoa; Arthropoda; Insecta; Lepidoptera; Bombycidae.